CUGAUAGUAGUACAGGAUGGCAUCGAAGCUCGGUCGGUUCCUGUCAAAGAAAUACUCGUUUCUGAGCGGGUCAAAGUAGCGCAUCCUCUUUUUCGGGUCCCCGAGCAACGUGUCCGGGAACUGGUUGAAAGUUUUCAGCUGGGUCUCGAAGCGCAGUCCCGAGAUGUUGAUGACCACUCGCUCGCAGCACUCGUGGUCGGGCUCGUAUCGAUCCAGCGACAGGUGACUGGGCAGCGCCGCGCUUUCCUCCAGCAUGUUAUCGCACGCGACCACCGUCAUGAUGUCCUUCUCCGUCUCCGCGUACCCGUGGUUGUCGGCGUUGUUCCCUCUGUGGCUGGCUGAGGGCAGAGCUACCAAUCAGAACAUCUGCUGCCAUGGUAAUGAGGAAAACAAACACACAUCAAUGACUUGGACGCCUAUUUCCAUGCUGACACCUCCUCAACCCUGCCAACCAUUUUAACCAUGGGGAAAUAUAACAUACACACAGCAGCGAGAGCUCUCUACAUGCUUCUGUGGCCAGAGGACAUCGACUGUUUCUUUCCAUCAGUUGCAGAUGUCUGAAGAAAUCUUGCUGUGGAGUUCACAUCAGUCAACAUAUACCGAACAAGUGGGGCAGAGGAUGAGAUUCAUUUGAACGUCUGGCAUUAGG
Pimephales promelas (fathead minnow) is the source of this 649-nucleotide non-coding RNA. The record is from RefSeq and is a predicted model, not a curated record. NCBI's taxonomy places the organism in Eukaryota, Metazoa, Chordata, Actinopteri, Cypriniformes, Leuciscidae.